This 314-nucleotide long non-coding RNA is filed under the name Nicotiana benthamiana. RNAcentral's name for it is "long non-coding RNA (NBEN_LNC007986)". Lineage: Eukaryota; Viridiplantae; Streptophyta; Magnoliopsida; Solanales; Solanaceae. The record is from RNAcentral.
AAUGUGUGGAGGACCGCCACUAGGACCUCUCGGAAACACACCAGGUGGUGGAGGUCCUGGACGACUAACGGCUGCUCCACCAGCAAAAGGUGGCUGCUGCUGCCCAAAUGGUGUAUAAUUAGGCCUAGGAGCACUAGGUGGUUGCUGCCCAAAUGGGUUAUUAGGCCUCGGAGCACUAGGUGACUGGUUAGGUCUAUUUAGUUGUAGAUUUUGCAUACCAUCAGCAAGUGCAUUAGGGUUAUAGUUGGGCGGUGGUCUAUUCCCUGGUCUAGGUACCCCUGGAGCCGCCAUUGAUUAUUCCCAAAUUUCCCACC